Molecule: transfer RNA, 98 nt
Filed under: Actinomycetota bacterium
Lineage: Bacteria; Bacillati; Actinomycetota
Description: Actinobacteria bacterium tRNA-Sec
Rfam family: Selenocysteine transfer RNA
Source: RNAcentral
GGAGCGGCUCGUGGUCCGGUGACUACCGCGGUCUUCAAAACCGUCUGUGGGGCAGUGACCCUGUCCUGGGUGGGUUCGACUCCCAUGUCGCUCCGCCA